Triplophysa dalaica is the source of this 951-nucleotide long non-coding RNA. RefSeq lists it as uncharacterized. The transcript is spliced from 5 exons. The record is from RefSeq and is a predicted model, not a curated record. Lineage: Eukaryota; Metazoa; Chordata; Actinopteri; Cypriniformes; Nemacheilidae.
AAUAUAAUGAUUUGUUUAAGUUGUACAUACAGUACAUUCCCUACACGAUUAUUACAAUUUUAAUGUUAUUAUCAAUUUAACGAUAUGUUCAUUUAUGGAAACUAAUGUGUGUUUAGCGAUUCCUUCAGAAAUGCGCGCUCGCACUUUUUCAUAUCGAAGGGAAAAACCAACGGUCAACUGACUGACGUUAACAUGUUAAACGAUUAAUAAAUAGUAAUAAAUACACUUUUUGCGAUAAAUAAUUCACCUCAUGUUAUUUUGAACAGUUCAUUUUGAUGUUGGUAUUAAAUAUCACCGAGUGACGCGACCAGUUCGUGGUCUGGGGCUGGUAAAAGACCUUUGUUACUGAUAGAGAUCAUCAUCUCCUUCCCUAAAAUGACCCUCGGAGCCUUGGCCUGACCCUUGACCACCACCCGACCCUUGACCUCCACCUGACUGAGGUGCUGUUGGAAACCUGUGGAUGGGUCAAGAAAAGAAUCAGAAAAAGGCUUUACGUCACGGAAUGAGAUUUUGCUGUACUAAACCAAGGCUGCAGCUGUCGUAAAAACAUAAAAAGAGAAACCGCAAGUACCUUCAGUUCCACCCACGUCUACUUCCUGUUGGGAGCACUGGUUCGACGACUCAACAAAUGAAGAUGGCUGGGAUUUCCCCUCAGAUGACAUUGUUGAGACGGUGGCAUUAUCGGUCACAACCUCCCUGUCAGGUUGCCAUAGCGUUUCGUCAGGUCCACCUGCAGCAGGUUUCUCAGCAGGUCCUUCAGGUCAGAACUAAAGUGAGAUGGGAAUCGUACCUGUGAACAAGACCACAGUUCAAAAAUCAACGACCUGCAAAAAAACCUCACCUUUCCUGAGACGAUCUUUUCGUAGAUCUGGAUGGGUUGAUCUGCAAAAAAUGGAGGGUAACCGGCAGCCAUCUCGUACAUCAACACACCCAGAGCCCACCAGUCCACAG